GGACCCGUAGCUCAACAGGAUAGAGCACCAGAUUUCUAAUCUGGGGGUUGCGCGUUCGAUCCGCGCCGGGUCCA
Molecule: transfer RNA, 74 nt
Filed under: Pseudobdellovibrionaceae bacterium
Lineage: Bacteria; Pseudomonadati; Bdellovibrionota; Bdellovibrionia; Bdellovibrionales; Pseudobdellovibrionaceae
Also listed under: 2 other names
Description: Bdellovibrionaceae bacterium tRNA-Arg
Rfam family: tRNA
About the family: Transfer RNA (tRNA) molecules are approximately 80 nucleotides in length. Their secondary structure includes four short double-helical elements and three loops (D, anti-codon, and T loops).
Source: RNAcentral